GACGAACCGUGCAAACGUUGUUCGGAAUCAUUGGGCUUAAAGGGCGCGUAGGCGGGCAAGAAAGUCGAAGGUGAAAGCCCACGGCUCAACCGUGGAAGUGCCUCCGAUACUUCUUGUCUCGAGCGAGAUAGGGGCGUGCGGAACUUCCGGUGGAGCGGUGAAAUGCGUAGAUAUCGGAAGGAACACCGGUGGCGAAAGCGGCGCGCUGGAUCUCUACUGACGCUGAGGCGCGAAAGCCAGGGGAGCAAACGGG
Molecule: ribosomal RNA, 253 nt
Filed under: uncultured Isosphaera sp.
Lineage: Bacteria; Pseudomonadati; Planctomycetota; Planctomycetia; Isosphaerales; Isosphaeraceae
Description: partial 16S ribosomal RNA
Rfam family: Bacterial small subunit ribosomal RNA
Source: RNAcentral